CAGUAGCCGCGGUAAUACGUAGGGUGCAAGCGUUAAUCGGAAUUACUGGGCGUAAAGCGUGCGCAGGCGGUUCGUUAAGACAGAUGUGAAAUCCCCGGGCUUAACCUGGGAACUGCAUUUGUGACUGGCGGGCUAGAGUAUGGCAGAGGGGGGUAGAAUUCCACGUGUAGCAGUGAAAUGCGUAGGGAUGUGGAGGAAUACCGAUGGCGAAGGCAGCCCCCUGGGCCAAUACUGACGCUCAUGCACGAAAGCGUGGGGAGCAAACAGGAUUAGAUACCCCAGUAGUCCUUGUCUCUUAUAA
Molecule: ribosomal RNA, 301 nt
Filed under: uncultured bacterium
Lineage: Bacteria
Description: partial 16S ribosomal RNA
Rfam family: Bacterial small subunit ribosomal RNA
Source: RNAcentral